AGGCAGACAGGAGUAAGAUGGAGGCAGACAGGUGUAAGAUAGAGGCAGGCAGGUGUAAGAUAGAGGCAGGCAGGUGUAAGAUAGAGGCAGACAGGUGUAAGAUAGAGGCAGACAGGUGUAAGAUAGAGGCAGGCAGGUGUAAGAUAGAGGCAGACAGGUGUAAGAUAGAAGCAGGCAGGUGUAAGAUAGAGGCAGACAGGUGUAAGAUAGAUGCAGAUGUAUGUAAGAUAGAGGCAGGCAGGUGUAAGAUAGAGGCAGACAGGUGUAAGAUAGAAGCAGGCAGGUGUAAGAUAGAGGCAGGCAGGUGUAAGAUAGAGGCAGACAGGUGUAAGAUAGAAGCAGGCAGGUGUAAGAUAGAGGCAGACAGGUGUAAGAUAGAGGCAGACAGGUGUAAGAUAGAGGCAGACAGGUGUAGGAUAGAGGCAGGCAGGUGUAAGAAAGAGGCAGGUAGGUGUAAGAUAGAGGCAGACAGGUGUAAGAUAGAGGCAGACGGG
Molecule: long non-coding RNA, 494 nt
Filed under: Priapulus caudatus
Lineage: Eukaryota; Metazoa; Priapulida; Priapulimorpha; Priapulimorphida; Priapulidae
Description: uncharacterized LOC106812042, transcript variant X7
Source: RNAcentral